This 460-nucleotide ribosomal RNA is filed under the name bacterium AC3003. Its description in RNAcentral is "bacterial SSU rRNA". It matches the Rfam family "Bacterial small subunit ribosomal RNA", at positions 28 to 484 of the family's 1533-position model. The record is from RNAcentral.
GAUGAACGCUGGCGGCGUGCCUAAUACAUGCAAGUCGAACGGGAAUCUUCGGAUUCCAGUGGCGAACGGGUGAGGAAUACAUAGGUAACCUGCCCCUCCGAGGGGGACAACAGACGGAAACAUCUGCUAAGACCGCAUAGCCACAGGGAAGGCAUCUUCCCUGUGCCAAAUGUCCUUUCGGGGACAGCGGGGGGAUGGACCUAUGCCGCAUUAGCUGGUUGGCGGGGCAACGGCCCACCAAGGCGACGAUGCGUAGCCGGCCUGAGAGGGCGGACGGCCACACUGGGACUGAGACACGGCCCAGACUCCUACGGGAGGCAGCAGUAGGGAAUUUUCGGCAAUGGGGGAAACCCUGACCGAGCAACGCCGCGUGAACGAUGAAGGCCUUCGGGUCGUAAAGUUCUGUUGCGAAGGAAGAACGCCGGUGUCAGGAAAUGGGCGCCGGGUGACGGUACUCGCA